Molecule: RNA transcript, 1979 nt
Organism: Zea mays
Lineage: Eukaryota; Viridiplantae; Streptophyta; Magnoliopsida; Poales; Poaceae
Exons: 3
Source: RefSeq, a predicted model, not a curated record
GGCCCUUCACGCGUCAAAGCCUCGAGAGCAGAGACUGCAGAACUGAACAUCCCAACCCAAGUCCCGAACCCUCCCUCACCACUCCCCCGAUCUCCGCCACUCCAAAAUGUGGCGCCGCCACCACCUCCUCCGGCUACUUCCGCCUCCGGCCACCGCCGCUACCGCCGCGGCCCCUUCCCACUUCCUGCGCUACCUCUCUACCUCAAGCACCCCGACCCCGGCCGCCUCCCUGGCCUCGUCCCUCGCGUCGGCGCUCACUGCGCUCUCCACGACCCCGCCCCCCGCCACCACCCCGGACGCUUACUUCUCCCUCCACUUCUCCGACGUGCGGCCUACCAACGCGCUCCUCGCCGAGGCGCUCGCGCUCUCCCCGCCCGCCACCUCCCGCGCCGCUGCCGAUCUCUUCCGCUUCCUCGUCCGCCGCCGCUCGCUCCACCCCUCCGACGGCGCGCUCGCGCCCAUCGUUCGCCACCUCGCCCGCCGCCGCGACUUCCCCGCCGUGCGCGCGCUCAUCCAGGAGUUUCCAACCGCUCUCGGGCCCACCACGCUCGACGCCUAUCUCCAGCAGCUCACCAGAGCCGGGCGCCCAACGGACGCUGUCAAGGUGUUCGACGAAUUGCCGGAGCAGCUCCGUAACCGCGAGGCUCUCACUUUGCUGGUCUCCUCGCUUUCUUCCGAGGGAUUCCCCUCGCACGCAGAGCGAGCUGCCAAGAAGGUCGCCAGUGAGAUCUUCCCAGAUGAUAAUAUCUGCACUUUGCUUGUAUCUGGUUAUGCCAAUGCUGGUAAGCUCGACCAUGCGCUAAGGUUGAUUGGUGAGACACGUAGAGGUGGGUUCCAUCCAGGAUUGGAUGCGUAUAAUGCUGUUCUUGAUUGUGUCUGCCGGCUCUGUCGCAAGAAGGAUCCACUGAGGAUGCCAAUAGAAGCGGAGAAGUUCUUAGUUGACAUGGAAGCAAAUGGGAUUCCUCGUGAUGCAGGCACAUUUCGGGUUCUGAUCACAAAUUUUUGCAAGAUCCGCAAGACAGGGGAUGCCAUGAAUCUGUUCCAGCGUAUGGGUGAGUGGGGCUGCUCACCGGAUGCUGACACGUACUUGGUGCUCAUUAGGAGCUUGUACCAAGCUGCCCGAACUUCAGAGGGGGAUGAAAUGAUAACGUGGAUGCGGUCUGCAGGAUUUGGAGAUAAACUUGAUAGGAAGGCAUAUUAUGGAUUCAUCAAGAUUUUAUGUGGGAUUGAGAGGGUUGAGCAUGCUGUCAAGGUAUUCCGUAUGAUGAAAGGUUAUGGGCAUGCUCCUGGAGUAAAAUCAUAUACCUUGCUCAUUGAGAAGCUGGCCAGACACAAUUUAGGGGAUCGUUCUAAUGCACUUUUCAGGGAGGCAGUUGCACGUGGUGUACCUGUGGCACAAGGAGAGUACAAUGUUGACAAAAGGUAUGUCAAGACAAAGAAGGAGAAGACGGUGAAGAAGAGGCUGACUUUGCCAGAGAAGAUGAGAUUGAAGAGCAAGAGGUUAUACAAGCUCAGAAUGAGCUUUGUCAAGAAGCCCAAGCGUCGAAUGCUCCGGGUUUAAGCAUAAUUUUGGUUCGGUCUGCUGCAGAAUAACUUCAUGGGAACACAGCAGUUUGGUUGGAGCGGAUGAUCAUGGGAGCGGACACCACCAGAUCCAGUUAUACUCCCUCCGUUUCUUUUUAUUAGUCGCUGGAUAGUGUAAUUUUACACUAUCCAGCGACUAAUAAAAAGAAACGGAGGGAGUAUCUCGGAAGAUCAGAAAAUUAUAGUCCCUUAACUGUGCCUGCCCUUCUGAGUGACUAUGCAACAUCAUUUUUCGAAGGCGAGAGCUCUGUAUGGUUUCUUUUUUUUUUUUUACUUUUUUUUGGUUGAUGCCAUGGCGACUCCGGUGAUGUUUGAUGCAACACCUUGCAUUCCAUUAUAGCACAAUAACGCACCAUUUCACUGAAUUUAAUUUACACUUGUGGUGAUGUUCUGUA